Molecule: long non-coding RNA, 157 nt
Organism: Thalassophryne amazonica
Lineage: Eukaryota; Metazoa; Chordata; Actinopteri; Batrachoidiformes; Batrachoididae
Exons: 3
Source: RefSeq, a predicted model, not a curated record
CUUGCUCUGUGUCUCAAAGUGCAGACCCUAUGUACUUUGUGUCCCCAGCGUGAAUAAAAAGCCUGCAGGUCACAGAGCUUUAUCUUAUUGUGCCCCUGUUCUGUGGAACGAUCUCCCUGCAUCAAUAAAACAGAUUCUGUAAAGUCCAGACUGAAGA